GGCCGCGCCGUAGCAGCAGCGAGAGCGGGCGGCGGGCGGAGGGGUGGGCUCUCCGCGGCGCGUGGGUCCCCCCUGGCUUGGAGCCGUGGUACGGUCGGCGGGAAGGAGCCGCGGCGCGGGGCGGUGCGCGGCACUGAGCCGGCGGCUCCCGCGGGCGAGGCGGGACGGGCCGGGCCCUCCGUCCGCACGGCACCGACCUGCCCGGCACCGACCUGCCCGGCACCGACCUGCCCGGCACCGACCUGCCCGGGUGAAGAGCCACAGAGAGGAGCUGCGCCUGCUCGUGCUGCGGGCUCGGGGACAGCGACAGAGCCCGGGUGCCCAGCCAGCCCUGGCAUCCAAGAUGUCCUUGAAGGUGCAGACCAGCAACAUCACCAACAAGAAUGACCCCAAGUCCAUCAACUCGCGGGUGUUCAUCGGCAACCUCAACACAGCAGUGGUGAAGAAGUCGGAUGUGGAGACCAUCUUCUCCAAGUACGGGCGCGUGGUCGGCUGCUCCGUGCACAAGGGCUACGCCUUCGUGCAGUACUCCAACGAGCGGCACGCGCGCGCCGCCGUGCUGGGCGAGAACGGCCGCGUGCUGGCCGGCCAGAGCCUGGACAUCAACAUGGCCGGGGAGCCCAAACCCAACAGACCCAAAGGGCUGAAGAGAGCAGCCUCUGCCUUGUACAGUGGCUACGACUUCGACUAUGACUAUUACAGAGACGAUUUCUACGACAGGAUCUUCGAGUACCGGGGCCGGGUGUCGCCGGUGCCGCGGGUGGUGCCGGUGAAGCGGCCCCGCGUCACCAUCCCGCUGGUGCGGCGCGUCAAGGCCUCGCUGCCCGUCAAGCUGUUCGCCAGGUCGGCCAUCGCCAACAGCUCGGCCAAGCUCAAGCUGAAGAGCAGCGAGCUGCAGACAAUCAAAACGGAGCUGACACAGAUCAAAUCCAACAUUGAUGCUCUCCUGGGCCGGCUGGAGCAGAUUGCUGAGGAACAGAAGCUGUCUGCAGAGGCCCGGAAGAAGGUGGAGAGCAGCAAGAGCGAGGUGUCCCAGGAGGACACGGCCUCCGAGGCCGAGGCCACCGCGGAGGAGCCGCUCAACGGGGACGAGGAGGAGGGGCUGGCACGGGAGGAGUGUGAAGAUGAACUGGGGUAAGAAAACACUGGAGAGACAUCUGCUGGCAGUGGUUUGGGAAGAGCUGGUCCUCAUUAAGAGGAGAAGAAAAAGAUGACUGUUUCAGCUCACAUCUCUAUUUUCUGUAACUCCCUGGUCCUGAUGUGGCAUCAAGACCAGAAAUGUUCCACUGCCAGCCUCAGACAGGCUCCCAUGGAUGGUCAGGGCAGAGCUCACAGCACUGAGCAGUCCUGAGGUGCCCCAGUUCCUGGGAGUGACUCCUUUAUCCCACUCCCCAGUGUGGCUGUCACCACUGCUGUCCAUGGACAUGGCACCCACAUGGGCUCUAUGGGGCAGGAGGGUGGCAGGAGAAGAACCAGAGGUCACUCAGACAGAGCUGAGGGAAUGUUUUGAGUUCUGAGCCAUAAAUUUGGAUGUACUGUACUCUGUACUCUGUACUGACCAUGGCAGUACUCUGUACUGACCAACUGGAUUGGUGGUCAGUACUAUUUACUACACUUAGUAGGGGAUACAAAGAUUGUUGUGUAUUAAAUGUCACAUGUGUGCAAAAAAUGUCACCUGCCAGCCCAUCAAUGCCUGGUGUCAGCUGAGGAGUGUCUUGGGGGAUGGCCCUGCUCAAGGGGAGAUCCCUGCACACAGAGGGAGGGAUUUCUGCAGGGAAAGCUAAAGGACUCCUGAUGUGGUCAGGUAUUUACAGAACACUGUGGUUGAUUUGCAGUCAGAUUUUCUUCUCAUUUCAUGCAGUUUUGGUCAUUUAUCUGCCCAGUCUGCAUCUAAACAGUUUUUGGGGUUGGUGCUGGGUGCCCACUGAAAGUCUCACACCGUAGGAGUCUGGGUGUCCUGGCCUCCUUGGCCUCCAGAGAGGUUUCACAUGGGAUUUUACCAAGCAGAUUCCUGAGCAAGCCCAAAUGGAUCUGAUCCUGCUCUUGGUGUUGGUCACUUCUCUGGGGUACUCAGGGUCACAGUCCCAUGGCUCUGCAGCCAAGGCUUCUCUCCACCUUCACAUCCCUGACCAGGUGUUCUUGGCCCUCAGGAACCAGAGCGAUGCCUCCCCUGCUCAGCUGGGUCAGAACUUACUCUUGAUGCUGUCCCAAAGUCUUCUGUUUCUUGCUCCAGCCCUGCUCCUUCCCCCAGAUGCCCGGGGGUCCCCAGGGGUCUGUGCACCAGUGGUGUGCAGGGUAUCAGCAGCUGGGCUGGCCCUGAUCCUCCCCCACAGGCUCCCAGCCCAUUCCAAGGCACAUCCCAGUGCAGCUGGCUCUGCCUGCCCUGAGCAAGGCCACCUCUCCUGGCCUUCAGGCACAGCCUGUUCCCUUUCCUUUCUUUUUGGAGCUCCUCAUGCCCCCUGCAGAGAGCUCCUGGAUCCAUUUCCAUCCCUGAAAUCCUCACCCUGUGCAGGAGGUCAAACACCUCUGCUGAGCACCCCAUUCCCCAGUGAUGCUGCUCUGCACAGCAGCUCCAGGAGCAAAUUCCACUGAGAAUGGCUGGAAAAGACUUACAAGACCAUCAAGGCAGUCCAAACACAUGGUGUGCUUUCCAAAGCCCUGCCUGGAGAGCAGUUCAGCACCAUUAUUACUAGAAAGGCCAUUAUUGUGGCCUUUGGAGUGCUGGAUGAGUGUUACCAUUCUGGAUAAUGAGUUCUGCUGCAAGCUGGGACCAGUUCCUGUGCUCAGCAGCAGAAUCAGGACAUUGAUUUGCCUUUGUGGACUGAGGUGCCUUGGCAGCACUGGGCAGUUCAGGGAACAAGAAACAGGAUGAGAGGAAACGGCCUCCAACUGUGCCAGGGGAAGUUUAGACUGGAGAUCAAGGAAAUUUCUUCACUGAAAGGGUGAUCAGGCAUUGGAACAGCUGGGAAGUGAACACGGACGUGCUGGGUUAAUGGUGGGACUUGAUGAUCUUGGAAGUCUUUUCCAAUCUGAAUGAUUCUGUGAUUCUAUUACUUCCAAGCCCUGGAGGGAAUUACCCACCCCAGGUCUGUUUGGCAGAGCUGUUUCAGAAUCAGGAGCCAGAGGAGACUGGUGUUUCUGCCAGGUGUCCAUACCAGGAGAACAGCCAUUACACAGACGUGGAGGAUGCCAGGCUACAGUAACCAGCUGUGAGCAACAGUGUGAGGAAAGCACGAGGCUAAACCCUGUCCUGGCACGUUGAGCAAGGCAAGCUGAAUGGAAGUGCUGCUGUCAUCUCUACCUGGCAUUCAAAGGAGAAACAUGGCCCGACAUCUUCCAUCCAUCUGUAAAGCAAAGGCAAAGAAAACUCAUCCUCCCAGCAGAUCCCCACCACCCCUGCAAUGGAUUUGGAGCUCUGCAGCCAGCAGAGGCAGGAGCCAGACCUGCACAACCCAGAGCCACCACAGAGCCCAGGAGAGCAGGUGUGUCCCCAGGGCAGCCAGAGGUGUUCCAGAGCUGCUUGCAGGAGAGCAGAGAGAGCUCAGCCCAGCCCAAUAAAGACAUUUCCUGUGUGAGGUGAGAGCCAGAGCAUUUCCUAACUGAGGGAGAAGUAGUGUCAGUCUGCACAGUUUGUGUUCUUGUGCUGAGGAUGCUGUUGGUCAGAAGCUGUGGGGUGAGCUGUCCUCCAGCACGGCCACCUCCUGCCACCUCUCUUGUGCCCCAUGAGCUGCUGUGUGUCCACGGUCACUUCAGGUGGAAAGGAGUCAGGCUGGAGCAGCUGCUGUGCUCUGGGAAGCUGCUUGAGGAGGGAAGGGGAGAGGAAGCUGCAGGAAAGCAAGUGACCCCAAGCAGGAGAGAGCCAGCAAUCAUCACCCUGAGUGGUUUGGUGUCCUCAUUCUCCACCGUGUCAGGGCUGAGCAAGCCUCUGCAGAGUGAGGGGCGUGGAUGAGACCCUUUCCUUGGACCAGCUGCUCCUGGAAGGGAUGUGGAGCACCCAACUCCUGCAGGCUGGAGUCAGAGACCUUCCCUGGCUGCCCACACCUCCUCCUGCCCCGGCCAGGGCGCGUCAGGAGCGUGGUGUGACCGCUCUGCUCCUGCCUGAGCUCUGUGGCCAGGGUGAAGCGUGCCCGAGGCUGGGCACAGGGAGUGCUCUGGGCAUGGUGCAGGUGGGUGUGCAGCAGCCCCCAGCUGCUGUGCCCCCUGCCCCGUGCUGUGAGCACAGGGCUCGUCGUGGGACCCAGAGAGGCCUCAGCCGUUCUCUCCUCGUUUCUCCUUCCUGGGCUCCUCCCAUUUUCUCGGGGACUGAAACUCACACAGCACUUUACCCACACCUGGUGUGUCCUGCCUGCCCCUUCCCCUCCAGAACACACAGCAGUGCUUGGAACCCAGAGCAGUGUCCACACCUUCCCCUGGCCAGUCCCUCCCACACCACACCUGAGUGGUCCUGAGUGCUCCAACCUCGUCCACAGCAUCUCUUGGAAGGGUGAAGGGAAAACAGCUCCAGGGGUGACACUGCCCUGCCCCUGGUGCCAUCCUGGAGCACGCAUGGCUCUUGAAGCACAAAGUUUUCUUUGCAUUUCUUAGUUUGGGCUGCUUGAGGAGGGGUUGGAGGGAGCCCUGUGCUUGCCCUGCCCUUUGGCAGUUCCUGUGCAAAGUCUGCACCAAGGUGUCCCGAGCCGUUCUCCAGGCCUGGAGAGAUGAGCUGCAGGUUUGGCUGUGAACUGACUGUGCUGCUGCUGUUUGGGAGAGGUGACCUUGUACAUAUGAUCCUGUAUAAUAAAAGAAAGAAAUCUAA
Passer domesticus (house sparrow) is the source of this 4795-nucleotide RNA transcript. It is a transcript of the gene named RALY heterogeneous nuclear ribonucleoprotein, with no coding region annotated. The record is from RefSeq and is a predicted model, not a curated record. The transcript has 11 exons. Lineage: Eukaryota; Metazoa; Chordata; Aves; Passeriformes; Passeridae.